GACGAACGCUGGCGGCGUGCUUAACACAUGCAAGUCGAACGGAAAGGCCCUGCUUUUGUGGGGUGCUCGAGUGGCGAACGGGUGAGUAACACGUGAGUAACCUGCCCUUGACUUUGGGAUAACUUCAGGAAACUGGGGCUAAUACCGGAUAGGAGCUCCUGCUGCAUGGUGGGGGUUGGAAAGUUUCGGCGGUUGGGGAUGGACUCGCGGCUUAUCAGCUUGUUGGUGGGGUAGUGGCUUACCAAGGCUUUGACGGGUAGCCGGCCUGAGAGGGUGGCCGGCCACAUUGGGACUGAGAUACGGCCCAGACUCCUACGGGAGGCAGCAGUGGGGAAUAUUGCACAAUGGGCGGAAGCCUGAUGCAGCAACGCCGCGUGCGGGAUGACGACCUUCGGGUUGUAAACCGCUUUCGCCUGUGACGAAGCGUGAGUGACGGUAAUGGGUAAAGAAGCACCGGCUAACUACGUG
RNAcentral lists this ribosomal RNA (468 nucleotides) under uncultured bacterium. Its description in RNAcentral is "partial 16S ribosomal RNA". It matches the Rfam family "Bacterial small subunit ribosomal RNA", at positions 28 to 507 of the family's 1533-position model. The record is from RNAcentral.